AUACUACUCCCUUCGUUCCAAAAGUCUUAUCUUACGUUUGUCUAAAAAUGGAUGUAUCUAAAUACUAAAAUAUGACUAGAUACAUUAAUAUCUAGACAAAUGUAAGACAAGAAUUUUGGGACGGAGGGAGUAUCUC
Hordeum vulgare subsp. vulgare (domesticated barley) is the source of this 136-nucleotide non-coding RNA. NCBI's taxonomy places the organism in Eukaryota, Viridiplantae, Streptophyta, Magnoliopsida, Poales, Poaceae. The record is from Rfam.